GAUGAACGCUGGCGGCGUGCUUAACACAUGCAAGUCGAACGGGAAAUAUUUCAUUGAGACUUCGGUGGAUUUGAUUUAUUUCUAGUGGCGGACGGGUGAGUAACGCGUGGGUAAUCUGCCUUAUACAGGGGGAUAACAGUCAGAAAUGGCUGCUAAUACCGCAUAAGCGCACAGAGCUGCAUGGCUCAGUGUGAAAAACUCCGGUGGUAUAAGAUGGACCCGCGUUGGAUUAGCUAGUUGGUGGGGUAACGGCCCACCAAGGCGACGAUCCAUAGCCGGGCUGAGAGGGUGAGCGGCCACAUUGGGACGGAGACACGGCCCAGACUCUUACGGGAGGCAGCAGUGGGGAAUAUAGCACAGUGGGGGAAACCAUGAUGCCGCGCCGCCGGUUGAAGGAAGAAGUAUGUCGGUAAGUAAACUUCUAUCAGCAGGGAAGAUAGUGACGGUACCUGAAUAAGAAGCCCCGGCUAACUACGUG
RNAcentral lists this ribosomal RNA (478 nucleotides) under uncultured bacterium. RNAcentral describes it as "partial 16S ribosomal RNA". It matches the Rfam family "Bacterial small subunit ribosomal RNA", at positions 28 to 507 of the family's 1533-position model. The record is from RNAcentral.